CUCCUAUUUCGCUUUUACUUCAUGAUUUUUCGAAUUCGCCGUGUUGCAAUCGUUUGUCCUGAUUUUCGUUUUCGUUGAUGAAGAUUCACGAAGAUUCAGAUUGGAAGUCAUUGAAGAAGAAGAUGAAGAUUCAAAUUGAUGAAGAUUCAAUUUUGACGAGUGGAAAUAAUACUGGGUUUUGAUGUAGAUCCAGAGUAGAAAUCAACAAGGCAACAUACAAGGAGAUAAAAAGCAAUAAAUUUGAAGAAUUAAAAGGAGGAAAGUUGCAGAAGUGUUGAAGAAGAAGAUAUUGGUUAGUGUUCUAGUGAGAAGAAGAGAAUACGGUCUAUGGGAUUUUGGAGAGAUGAAGAAAUAAGGGUAUAAUGGUAAUUUUCUUCUUCUAGAUUUGGAGAAGAAGAAAGAAGGAUUUGGAGAAAAUCAGAAGCACAAAAUUACGGUCUAAAGUUUUGAUUGAGUUUUGAUUUUUCUAAAAUUUGGAAUUAAAUCUAGAUUUUUUUAUUUGAUUUUAUGAAUAUGAUUGAAGGACGAAUGAAGAUGAAGAUGAUGGAAGAAGAAGAAAGUAAAUAAAUUAGACAUUGGUGAUACAUUAUAAAAUCUGAUAGACUUUUGUAAUCC
Molecule: long non-coding RNA, 615 nt
Filed under: Medicago truncatula (barrel medic)
Lineage: Eukaryota; Viridiplantae; Streptophyta; Magnoliopsida; Fabales; Fabaceae
Description: lncRNA gene50301
Source: RNAcentral